UGGCAGGUGGUGUAAAGGUAGCACAGGAGAUUUUGGUUCUCUUAGUCAGGGUUCGAAUCCUUGCCCGCCAA
RNAcentral lists this transfer RNA (71 nucleotides) under Persicitalea jodogahamensis. It matches the Rfam family "tRNA". Rfam says of the family: Transfer RNA (tRNA) molecules are approximately 80 nucleotides in length. The record is from Rfam by way of RNAcentral. RNAcentral also lists the same sequence under 3 other names. Lineage: Bacteria; Pseudomonadati; Bacteroidota; Cytophagia; Cytophagales; Spirosomataceae.